RNAcentral lists this long non-coding RNA (2805 nucleotides) under Sus scrofa (pig). RNAcentral describes it as "lncRNA (ENSSSCG00050045088.1)". Lineage: Eukaryota; Metazoa; Chordata; Mammalia; Artiodactyla; Suidae. The record is from RNAcentral.
UGCUCAGUGGGUUAAGGAUCCUAUGUUGCUGUGGCUGUGGCAUAGGCCAGAGGCUAUAGCUCUGAUUGGAUCCCUAGCCUGGAACUUCCAUAUGCAGUGGGUGUGGCCCUAAAAGAAGAAGAAAAAAAAAAAAAACCAGUAAGAUUGCAUUCUAGGAAUUCAAUUCUGAUUUGUUGCUGCUCAUAACUUGUAGGAAUUAGCUCCUCAUAAUCAGGUCAGCAGGGUAUAUUCACUAGAAAAUUCAUGGUAUAUUGACAGUCAUUGUUUUUUAUUCACAAAUAGAAGAGUACAUAGGCAUUUCACAAAGGAAAGGAACAUUUUUGAUUUGUGGUCAUGGAGGGUGUGGCAUAAAUGGUCCACUUAGCCCCUGGGCUAUUGAAUCUGUAUCCUCCUGAUUAGUUGUCAAUGAGAUUUCUCCAAGGUCAACUGCUGGGUAAGAAGUUUAAAAGUGCCCUAUGAUCCAUUUAUUACAUAAUUGUUGGGUGGGGUUUUGGGAGAGGGUGCACUUCCAGGGAAAAGGAAAGAAGGCAGGUUGGCUAGGUCUGUGUUUCUUGUGAAUAUGAUAGCUGGGACACUGGGAAGGUAGAAUAAUGAAAUAUGUAAAGAGAGGACUCCUUAUCUAUACAAAGCUUUGAGCAGAAUGUCCUAGCUUUGGGAUUGCUUAUGAUAAAACAAACCAGCAGUCUACUGAAUUAUGAGACAUGGCUCUCAUAUGAUUCUCUGGGGUACUGGGGACAUUUCCUGACAUUAAUGCUCUCUGUUGUCUGAGGGCCCUCAAGUACCUCUUAGAGAACUGUCAUUUUGAGCACUUGGAAAUGCAUUCCUGAUGCCACAAAAAAGGAGGUGGGAGUCACAAAGGAAGUCUUCUCCUUGCUUCACCCAGUCCUCUUGAAUGCCUAUAUUCUUUAAGUUGUUCAUAAAUCUUGAUACUGGGUAAGUUCUUUGAGCUAUGAGAGUCUGAUUUGACAAGUUGAUCUUUUGUGUUGGCUCAACUGUCAAAAGCAAAAUGCUUAGGAGUGACUCCUGAAACAUAAUUUGCAUGGAUAUUUUUACUCAUGGAACACUAGGUUUGUUAAUAGCAGUAGAUCUUGUUUGGAAAAAAAAAACGGAGCAUGAGAUUCACCACUAAUGAUAGAGCCUAUCAUUAUUUGAUAUGCUUUUAAUAUUUCUAGACCUAGUAAUAGAACAUAAAAAUAUUCUCUUAAUCUUGACAUUUCUCUUGAUAUUUCUAGACCAAGUAAUAGAAAAUAAAAAUAGACUUGACACAUCUAUAUCCCCUUGCUGAUUAAAAAUUAUGGAGAAGUAUAUUGUGGUUGCAAGACAUAUGAUCCUUCAAAUUUAGCAUUUUAAUUCUUGAUGUUGGUUGGUGCAGUACUUUUGAAGAGGAGACAAAAGAAUUCAGACUGUCUUACCAGGAGGAAGGCUCUUGCUCUUCCCUGCUCCCCUCAAAAGAGUAAUUCCAAUCUUUCUUUCCAAAAUCUUGUUCAUUUUUCUUCUUUUUUACCCCUUGCUUUCAAAUUCUACAACUAUCAAGAGAGUAAUUCUUUGAGUAAGAUGUUCUGAAAUCUGUCUGCACUCUGGCAGUACAAGGUGAGGCAAGUGUCAAUAGUGCAGGCACUGUGCCUUGAGCAGGGAUUCAUUUAUAAUGUUUGCCAAUCCUUGAUUUAAGCCGAUCGACACACGGCAAGGUCAGCUGGAAUUAGAUAAGACUGUUUCUAAAAAAUGUGGCAAUGCUACCUUCAAAGAUAAUCUAUAAGCUGUCCAGCAAUUCUUAUUCUGAUUUUCAAAGUCAUAGACCUCUCAAAGAGUUAGAAGGGAAAGUAAAAUAACUACUCUGAUGGUGGAAUUUUCAAAAUAAUUUACACAAAAUGAUUUGAAACAGCAAAAGAUUUUUUUUCCUGUUCUCAAAUGUCAGAUAUUUAUACAACAAAUCAAAAGAAGCAUCUUGGGAAAGGAAUAGUGCAUAUUAUUGAAAAGGCCUUUCACUCAGCCUCAAGAGUCUGCUCAGAUGAUUCCUGUAUUAGAAAUUCCUUAAAAGAAGAGUCCUUUUGAUGUUGGCCUCAUCUUAAUUAAUUUAGAGCAAACCUCUUGAAACUGUAGCAAGUAACAGGAAGGGUAACUUCAUAAAUAGAUAUUGAAAUUGUCUAUAGCCUGCUGAAAAUGUACUUUAAGUGGUUUCCUCAGAAAUUUACUUCCUUGGAAUAUACUGAGGCACUUAACUGGUGAUCUUUUAUAUUUUUUUCCAUUCUGAGAGAGUUGAAAAAGUAACCUUGUGUUUACUUGGUUUAAUUGAAUAGUCUGUUCUAAAAUUUUGUUUCAAUUGUUUUCUAACUAUUUAUGAAUUGUGUUUAGUAUCAGAAUAAGAUAGAUUUGGUUCUAAUCCACAUUUGACUGGCUUCAUGAAAAUUACUUUAUCUUUCAGAGACUAAUUUUUCUAUUCUGAAAAUUUAUGCUUCUGAAAUACUUCCUCAUAGGUUUAUAUGGGAUUACAUGAGAUAAAUUAAUGAAAAUAAUAUAUCAAAUACUUGGCACAUGGCAAGAAAUCAGUAAAAAUUAGCAUUUAUUAGUGCCAUGAAAAAAUACCUCUUCGUUAAGAUUAACACAUUCAAUAGAGUAGAAACACUGUAUUUUUUAAAAAAUAUAUUAUUAUUAUUAUACUUUUUAAGGCUGUACUUGCAGCAUAUGGAAGCUCCUAGCCUGGGAACCUCCAUAUACCACAGGUGCGGCCCUAGAAAAGGUAAAAAGACAAAAAAAAAAAAAAUUUAGUAAUGUAUAUCAUAUACAGUAAAAAAAAAAAAAAAAAAA